GAGUUUGAUCCUGGCUCAGAUUGAACGCUAGCGGGAUGCCUUACACAUGCAAGUCGAACGGCAGCACGGACUUCGGUCUGGUGGCGAGUGGCGAACGGGUGAGUAAUGUAUCGGAACGUGCCUAGUAGCGGGGGGAUAACUACGCGAAAGCGUAGCUAAUACCGCAUACGCCCUACGGGGAAAGCAGGGGAUCGCAAGACCUUGCACUAUUAGAGCGGCCGAUAUCGGAUUAGCUAGUUGGUGGGGUAACGGCUCACCAAGGCGACGAUCCGUAGCUGGUUUGAGAGGACGACCAGCCACACUGGGACUGAGACACGGCCCAGACUCCUACGGGAGGCAGCAGUGGGGAAUUUUGGACAAUGGGGAAACCCUGAUCCAGCCAUCCCGCGUGUGCGAUGAAGGCCU
Molecule: ribosomal RNA, 405 nt
Filed under: uncultured microorganism
Description: bacterial SSU rRNA
Rfam family: Bacterial small subunit ribosomal RNA
Source: RNAcentral